This 700-nucleotide ribosomal RNA is filed under the name Paucisalibacillus sp. STS61. RNAcentral describes it as "bacterial SSU rRNA". It matches the Rfam family "Bacterial small subunit ribosomal RNA", at positions 654 to 1354 of the family's 1533-position model. The record is from RNAcentral. Lineage: Bacteria; Bacillati; Bacillota; Bacilli; Caryophanales; Bacillaceae.
GAGGAGAGUGGAAUUCCACGUGUAGCGGUGAAAUGCAUAGAGAUGUGGAGGAACACCAGUGGCGAAGGCGACUCUCUGGUCUGUAACUGACGCUGAGGCGCGAAAGCGUGGGGAGCGAACAGGAUUAGAUACCCUGGUAGUCCACGCCGUAAACGAUGAGUGCUAGGUGUUAGGGGGUUUCCGCCCCUUAGUGCUGAAGUUAACGCAUUAAGCACUCCGCCUGGGGAGUACGGCCGCAAGGCUGAAACUCAAAAGAAUUGACGGGGGCCCGCACAAGCGGUGGAGCAUGUGGUUUAAUUCGAAGCAACGCGAAGAACCUUACCAGGUCUUGACAUCCUCUGACCACCCUAGAGAUAGGGCUUUCCCUUCGGGGACAGAGUGACAGGUGGUGCAUGGUUGUCGUCAGCUCGUGUCGUGAGAUGUUGGGUUAAGUCCCGCAACGAGCGCAACCCUUAUUCUUAGUUGCCAGCAUUUAGUUGGGCACUCUAAGGAGACUGCCGGUGACAAACCGGAGGAAGGUGGGGAUGACGUCAAAUCAUCAUGCCCCUUAUGACCUGGGCUACACACGUGCUACAAUGGAUGGUACAAAGGGCAGCAAAACCGCGAGGUCGAGCAAAUCCCAUAAAACCAUUCUCAGUUCGGAUUGCAGGCUGCAACUCGCCUGCAUGAAGCCGGAAUCGCUAGUAAUCGCGGAUCAGCA